AUGUCCGCUCCAGUGGUAGACAGUGACUCAGAGUCAGAUUCUGAUUUAGAGGGAUACAAAGACAUUGCUGGCAAUUUUUUCUCGAUGGUCAACCAAUUGAAAGAAAAAGGCAGUCACUUAGAAGCCACCCCUAAAAAGAGGAAAAUACCUUCUCCUGAGAAGAAGAACAAAGAACCUGAAAACCUGGAUGUGUCAAUUAAUCUGGAUACUGAUAACACUAACUCAUCUGAACCAAUUCUAGAAAGUACCAAUAAGUCAGAGUCCAACAUAGAUGAUUCUGCUGCUAAUCUAUCCACAUCAAUCGCAGAAGAUUCCCCGAUUUCAUUGAGGAUGAAGAAGAUGAUGAAGAUGACGAAGAUGAGGUUGAUGAGGUAGAUUUGAACACACGGCUCAGCCGACUUCGUCCAAGGAGUGGAGGCAGAGUUCUUCCCACCCGUAGAAAAAAGAAAACUAAAACUAAAACGAAGCAGUCCCCAAAAAAGAAAAGAAAAUGAUUGAGUAUGAUUUUAGUUUACUUGAAGAUAAUGAUGAUAGUUUGGUAAGUACAGCUGAAGAUUUUUUUCAGAAGCUCUCAGCUUCCUCUAUCAUCUUGAAUCCUUCAUCUUUUUUUUUUAACAUCGUGAUGGAUGUCACCGUAACAUCAAUAAUGAUAUAGUAUGAAGUUUUGUAAAACACACAAAGCCAAGGUGUUAUAUGAGAAUACAUUUUUUAUUAGAACCGAAGUUUCUUGAGCUUUGUGAUCAUUAUCAAGGCUAAGGAAAUCGCACUACAUCAAGCAAUAAGAAAUUACCAAGCAAAAUGAAAAAUAGAAGACACAGCGGAGUGCGAAAAAAUCGAAGUAAAAAUCUAGCAAUCAAUUGAUAGGUGAUAACAGGUGGUAU
Molecule: long non-coding RNA, 881 nt
Filed under: Bemisia tabaci
Lineage: Eukaryota; Metazoa; Arthropoda; Insecta; Hemiptera; Aleyrodidae
Description: lncRNA ENSSSA2NGG013182
Source: RNAcentral